CCUACGGGAGGCUGCAGUGAGGAAUAUUGGUCAAUGGACGGAAGUCUGAACCAGCCAUGCCGCGUGCAGGAAGACGGCUCUAUGAGUUGUAAACUGCUUUUGUACAAGGGUAAACCUGAAUACGUGUAUUCAGCUGAAAGUACUGUACGAAUAAGGAUCGGCUAACUCCGUGCCAGCAGCCGCGGUAAUACGGAGGAUCCAAGCGUUAUCCGGAUUGAUUGGGUUUAAAGGGUGCGUAGGCGGAUUGAUAAGUUAGAGGUGAAAUGUCCGAGCUUAACUCGGGAACUGCCUCUAAUACUGUUGAUCUAGAGAGUAGAUGCGGUAGGCGGAAUGUAUGGUGUAGCGGUGAAAUGCUUAGAGAUCAUACAGAACACCGAUUGCGAAGGCAGCUUACCAAUCUAUAUCUGACGUUGAGGCACGAAAGCGUGGGGAGUAAACAGGAUUAGAUACCCCAGUAGUC
RNAcentral lists this ribosomal RNA (460 nucleotides) under uncultured bacterium. RNAcentral describes it as "partial 16S ribosomal RNA". It matches the Rfam family "Bacterial small subunit ribosomal RNA", at positions 338 to 795 of the family's 1533-position model. The record is from RNAcentral.